Molecule: ribosomal RNA, 478 nt
Filed under: uncultured bacterium
Lineage: Bacteria
Description: partial 16S ribosomal RNA
Rfam family: Bacterial small subunit ribosomal RNA
Source: RNAcentral
GACGAACGCUGGCGGCGUGCUUAACACAUGCAAGUCGAACGGUAAGGCCCUUCGGGGUACACGAGUGGCGAACGGGUGAGUAACACGUGGGUGAUCUGCCCUGCACUUCGGGAUAAGCCUGGGAAACUGGGUCUAAUACCGGAUAGGACCACUGCCUGCAUGGGUGGUGGUGGAAGGCUUUUGCGGUGUGGGAUGGGCCCGCGGCCUAUCAGCUUGUUGGUGGGGUGAUGGCCUACCAAGGCGACGACGGGUAGCCGGCCUGAGAGGGUGACCGGCCACACUGGGACUGAGAUACGGCCCAGACUCCUACGGGAGGCAGCAGUGGGGAAUAUUGCUCAAUGGGCGCAAGCCUGAUGCAGCGACGCCGCGUGAGGGAUGACGGCCUUGGGGUUGUAAACCUCUUUCAGCACCGACGAAGCGCAAGUGACGGUAGGUGCAGAAGAAGGACCGGCCAACUACGUGCCAGCAGCCGCCGUAA